This 970-nucleotide ribosomal RNA is filed under the name uncultured bacterium. Its description in RNAcentral is "bacterial SSU rRNA". It matches the Rfam family "Bacterial small subunit ribosomal RNA", at positions 8 to 976 of the family's 1533-position model. The record is from RNAcentral.
AGAGUUUGAUCAUGGCUCAGAACGAACGCUGGCGGCGUGCUUAACACAUGCAAGUCGCGUGCGCAGUUCUUGUAGCAAUACGAGAAUCGGCGCACGGCGCACGGGUGCGUAACACGUGGGCAAUCUGCCCUCCGAUGGGGAAUAACCCCGCGAAAGCGGGGCUAAUACCGCAUAACAUUCCUUGGACUACGGUUUGAGGAUUCAAAGCUAGUGAUGCGUCGGAGGAGGAGCCCGCGCCCGAUUAGCUAGUUGGUGAGGUAACGGCUCACCAAGGCAAUGAUCGGUAGCUGGUCUGAGAGGAUGAUCAGCCACACUGGAACUGAGACACGGUCCAGACUCCUACGGGAGGCAGCAGUGGGGAAUCUUGCGCAAUGGGCGAAAGCCUGACGCAGCGACGCCGCGUGGGGGAUGAAGCUUUUCGGAGUGUAAACCCCUUUCGACUGGGACGAAUGCCCGCAAGGGAGUGACGGUACCAGUAGAAGAAGCCCCGGCUAACUACGUGCCAGCAGCCGCGGUAAGACGUAGGGGGCCAGCGUUGUUCGGAAUUACUGGGUGUAAAGGGUUCGUAGGCGGUGUGGCAAGUCGGGAGUGAAAUCUUUGGGCUUAACUCAGAGGCUGCUUCCGAAACUGCUGUGCUUGAGUAUGGGAGAGGCGCGUGGAAUUGCAGGUGUAGCGGUGAAAUGCGUAGAUAUCUGCAGGAACACCCGUGGCGAAAGCGGCGCGCUGGACCAUAACUGACGCUGAGGAACGAAAGCUAGGGGAGCAAACAGGAUUAGAUACCCUGGUAGUCCUAGCCCUAAACGAUCAGGACUUGGGGUGUCGCCCGUUCGGGCGUCGUCCCGGAGCUAACGCGUUAAGUCCUGCACCUGGGGAGUACGGUCGCAAGACUGAAACUCAAAGGAAUUGACGGGGCCCGCACAAGCGGUGGAACAUGGUGGUUCAAUUCGACGCUACGCGAGGAACCUUACCU